RNAcentral lists this ribosomal RNA (406 nucleotides) under uncultured bacterium. Its description in RNAcentral is "partial 16S ribosomal RNA". It matches the Rfam family "Bacterial small subunit ribosomal RNA", at positions 30 to 526 of the family's 1533-position model. The record is from RNAcentral.
AUUGAACGCUGGCGGCAGGCCUAACACAUGCAAGUCGAACGAGUGGCGGACGGGUGAGUAAUGUCUGGGAAACUGCCCGAUGGAGGGGGAUAACUACUGGAAACGGUAGCUAAUACCGCAUACCAUCGGAUGUGCCCAGAGGGGUUUAGCUAGUAGGUGGGGUAACGGCUCACCUAGGCGACGAUCCCUAGCGGGUCUGAGAGGGUGACCAGCGACAUUGGAACGCAGACAAGGUCCAGCCUCCUACGUGAGGCAGCAGUGGGAAAUAUUGCGCAAUGGGCGCGAGCCUGAUGCAGCCAUGCGGCGUGUAUGAAGGGGGCCUUUGGGUUGUAAAGUACUUUCAGCGAGGAGGCGUUACUCGCAGAAGAAGCACCGGCUAACUCCGUGCCAGCAGCCGCGGUAAUUC